UACUGAGUUUGGACAUGUGGAUGCCCUGU
This 29-nucleotide non-coding RNA is filed under the name Mus musculus (house mouse). The record is from RNAcentral. Lineage: Eukaryota; Metazoa; Chordata; Mammalia; Rodentia; Muridae.